Selaginella moellendorffii is the source of this 1053-nucleotide RNA transcript. RefSeq lists it as uncharacterized. The transcript has 5 exons. NCBI's taxonomy places the organism in Eukaryota, Viridiplantae, Streptophyta, Lycopodiopsida, Selaginellales, Selaginellaceae. The record is from RefSeq and is a predicted model, not a curated record.
UUUUGGAAUCUGGAGAGAAUGGGGACGCUCGACAGGCUGCUCCAGGAGGAAAUCCAGGGCGAGGCGCGGCUCCUCGAUGAUCCCGUACAGGACGGCGACGAGGAGAGCGCGCAGGUCGGGAGGAUCAUUUACAAGGCUUCAUUCGAGGAGAUGGAGGACCGAUUUGUGAACUACGACUCUGUCCAAUGGUGCUUGAUCUCGCUGCUGCUAGUUCUUGCUUGGGGAGCGGGAAUUCUUAUGCUUCUCUACUUGCCCGUGAGGAGAUCCAUCAUGAGGAGCGAUUUUAGAUCACGAAAGCUCUAUGUGACCGACAAUGCGAUUGUCUACAAGGUCUCGAGACCAGCUUGGUUUCCAUGUUUUGGAGUGAAUCGAACGGAAAAAUGCCUGAUGCUACCUCUCGUGACUGACGUUGUCAUCGAGCAAGGUUUCGUUUUUCUUCUUUAUUUUCAUUCUAGGAUAGAGCUUCCGGCUUGUUGGAUUUUUCAAACCUUUCAAACUAAGUUCUCGGUGCGUGGUUUAGACAGUGUGAUUCCCGUUCACUUUCUUCGCAGGAUGCAUGCAAUCGGCUUUCAACCUUUCAUCUCUAAGGAUCGAAAUUGCCGGGAGAUCCAAGCCUUCUCCGAGCGACGACGUGCAGAUUCAAGGACUGGCAAAUCCUACGCUCUUCCGAAAAUUUGAAGCCUCUGCCUCGUCUCAAUGAUCACGACGUGGAAGACCUUCCUGUCCAGCCUUCCUUGAGCAAAUCGAGUGCUUGGACUUGGGGCCAAGGCACUGGAUUGUCUUCCUGGCAGAUGGGCUAUUUGCCUCUCAAAGAAGAAGCUGGCUAUAGCUACAGUGACAACAGCAGCGAGAAGCUCUUCGAGAAGCUUGAGGACAUAAGAAACUCUCUCAAGAGAAUAGAAGUUCUCGUUGAAGCUCAACAGCAAUCACCAAAGCGUUGAACGAAACGUACGAGGAUUUGGAAUCCAUGUUAUGUGUAUAGAACAAAUUGGAUCCGUGGCGCAAUGUUAUGUUCAUGUAAGUAAAUGAAAAGUUAAAACUGAUUUCUUCUCA